AACGUAGGAGACAAACGUUAUCCGGAGUUACUGGGCGUAAAGGGCGUGCAGGUGGUCUGUUAAGUCUGGCGUGAAAGCUCUCGGCUAAACCGGGAGAGGUCGUUGGAUACUGGCGGACUAGAGGACGGUAGAGGCGUGUGGAAUUCCGGGUGUAGUGGUGAAAUGCGUAGAGAUGCGGAGGAACACCGAUGGCGAAGGCAGCCCCCUGGGCCAAUACUGACGCUCAGGCACGAAAGCGUGGGGAGCAAACAGG
This 253-nucleotide ribosomal RNA is filed under the name uncultured bacterium. RNAcentral's name for it is "partial 16S ribosomal RNA". It matches the Rfam family "Bacterial small subunit ribosomal RNA", at positions 524 to 776 of the family's 1533-position model. The record is from RNAcentral.